Non-coding RNA from Cordylochernes scorpioides, 116 nucleotides. NCBI's taxonomy places the organism in Eukaryota, Metazoa, Arthropoda, Arachnida, Pseudoscorpiones, Chernetidae. The record is from the annotation of a GenBank genome assembly.
ACAAAAACGUCAUCCAAAAUUCGUUGGUUCUCGUUCGAUCACCGAAGUUAAGCAAUGUCGGGCCCCGGUCAGUACUUGGGAGGGUGACCACCUGGGAACACCGGGUGCUGUAGGCA